GCUCUGCUUACGCAAAACGGGCUCUGGUGCUUGACUGGACUUGUCCAUAAUAACUCCUGUGUUAGUAAUGCUGGUGCCUUCAGCCAGGGAGAUGCACGGGGCUCAACUGUCCUGCUUUGUUUGUGCUGUAAGAAAUCCUGAUUCCCAAGGAAAGCAGCCUGGACACCCCCUGACUCAGACGUGGAUGGGAAGGCUGUGCCGUCCUGAGUGUGCAGAAGUGGAGUGCAUGAUAUAAUUUGGAAAUUGAUUAAAGAAUCUCCAUAGAAUUCAAUAUGGCAUCACAGCAGUCAUCUGCAUCGACAGAGGAGCAGGCUUCCUCUGAAAUAGAUGAUCUCCAUCUAACGCUGCAAGUCCAGCGAGAGUUUACACAGAAGAAAACCUUUACUAGUUGGAUAAAUUCAAUAUUGGCAAAG
Molecule: long non-coding RNA, 413 nt
Organism: Malurus melanocephalus (red-backed fairy wren)
Lineage: Eukaryota; Metazoa; Chordata; Aves; Passeriformes; Maluridae
Exons: 3
Source: RefSeq, a predicted model, not a curated record